AAGGAUAAAUAAUGUGUGGCUUUUUUUGCUUGGAAACUGGCCAGCCAUGUCAACUCAGAAGAAAGUAAGAAAAAAAAUACAGACCUUGCAACUUUGUGCUUAUUAUUGUUGUUGUUCUAGCCAUUUCUGUGUCCACUUGUCCACUUAUCCAUUUGCUGAGCAUAUCCCAAACUCCCUCAUGCCUCUUUUGGAGGUGAACUGUGAAGUAAACUAGGUCACUUGGAGUUGAAAACAAAGAAAGGAGAGAAGAAGAAGAAGCUUUCUGCUGGCUUUUGAGGUCUUUGAAUUUUAAGCAUCUUUUGCUGUGGAAGGAAAAGUAUGUUCCCCUGCUAAAGGGUCUUCUGACAUCAGGGAGCUGGUUGGGAAGGUUUUAAGCUCCUGAGUUACCCCUGACAGAGGAGACCUUGGGCUGUGUGGACCUUUGGUCUUCUCUGCAAGCAUCUCAGAUAAUUUUCAGAUUGGCAGCACACAGAAGCAAAACCCGUGUAAAAAGCUGAAGUAAAACGCCCAGCUCGCCACAUGACACAUGCUUGUACUACACUGUGACUGGCAGGUAAGG
This is a long non-coding RNA of Pipistrellus kuhlii (Kuhl's pipistrelle), 559 nucleotides long. RefSeq lists it as uncharacterized. The transcript has 4 exons. The record is from RefSeq and is a predicted model, not a curated record. NCBI's taxonomy places the organism in Eukaryota, Metazoa, Chordata, Mammalia, Chiroptera, Vespertilionidae.